RNAcentral lists this ribosomal RNA (608 nucleotides) under Marinobacter nauticus. RNAcentral describes it as "bacterial SSU rRNA". It matches the Rfam family "Bacterial small subunit ribosomal RNA", at positions 55 to 655 of the family's 1533-position model. The record is from RNAcentral. Lineage: Bacteria; Pseudomonadati; Pseudomonadota; Gammaproteobacteria; Pseudomonadales; Marinobacteraceae.
AUGCAGUCGAGCGGUAACAGGGGAAGCUUGCUUCCCGCUGACGAGCGGCGGACGGGUGAGUAAUGCUUAGGAAUCUGCCCAGUAGUGGGGGAUAGCCCGGGGAAACCCGGAUUAAUACCGCAUACGUCCUACGGGAGAAAGCAGGGGAUCUUCGGACCUUGCGCUAUUGGAUGAGCCUAAGUCGGAUUAGCUAGUUGGUGGGGUAAAGGCCUACCAAGGCGACGAUCCGUAGCUGGUCUGAGAGGAUGAUCAGCCACAUCGGGACUGAGACACGGCCCGAACUCCUACGGGAGGCAGCAGUGGGGAAUAUUGGACAAUGGGGGCAACCCUGAUCCAGCCAUGCCGCGUGUGUGAAGAAGGCUUUCGGGUUGUAAAGCACUUUCAGUAGGGAGGAAAACCUUAUGGCUAAUACCCAUGAGGCUUGACGUUACCUACAGAAGAAGCACCGGCUAACUCCGUGCCAGCAGCCGCGGUAAUACGGAGGGUGCAAGCGUUAAUCGGAAUUACUGGGCGUAAAGCGCGCGUAGGUGGUUUGGUAAGCGAGAUGUGAAAGCCCCGGGCUUAACCUGGGAACGGCAUUUCGAACUGUCAGACUAGAGUGUGGUAGA